Molecule: non-coding RNA, 74 nt
Organism: Galeopterus variegatus (Sunda flying lemur)
Lineage: Eukaryota; Metazoa; Chordata; Mammalia; Dermoptera; Cynocephalidae
Source: the annotation of a RefSeq genome assembly
GGCCGGUUAGCUCAGUUGGUUAGAGCGUGGUGCUGAUAACGCCAAAGCCCAAGGUUCAACCCCUGUACCAGCCA